AUUGGUGCUGUGAUGAUACAAUUUGUGGACUAGAGUUUAUGAUCCGGGAAUCUUAACCUAGAAUCUGAUUAUCAAACCCUUGGUUGUCCGAGCACAUAG
Cicer arietinum (chickpea) is the source of this 99-nucleotide small nucleolar RNA. RefSeq annotates it as small nucleolar RNA Z157/R69/R10. The record is from RefSeq and is a predicted model, not a curated record. Lineage: Eukaryota; Viridiplantae; Streptophyta; Magnoliopsida; Fabales; Fabaceae.